This is a non-coding RNA of Acanthosepion pharaonis, 110 nucleotides long. NCBI's taxonomy places the organism in Eukaryota, Metazoa, Mollusca, Cephalopoda, Sepiida, Sepiidae. The record is from the annotation of a GenBank genome assembly.
UUAUGGCCAUAUCACAUUGAAACACCAGUUCUCAUACAAUCACCGAAGUUAAGCAACAUCAGGCCCGGUUAGUAUUUAGAUGGGUGACCAUUUGGGAAACCAGGUGCCAU